Long non-coding RNA from Egretta garzetta (little egret), 103 nucleotides. RefSeq lists it as uncharacterized. Lineage: Eukaryota; Metazoa; Chordata; Aves; Pelecaniformes; Ardeidae. The record is from RefSeq and is a predicted model, not a curated record. The transcript has 3 exons.
UGCGCUGCUUCUUUUAAGUCUUGUCCUCCAUUGGUUCGGGUGGUUCCUGCUAUAGUAAUUCCCAUAACAUGCAACUCAUAUCCCAGGCUGCAACAACGUGAAG